Molecule: long non-coding RNA, 372 nt
Organism: Physeter macrocephalus (sperm whale)
Lineage: Eukaryota; Metazoa; Chordata; Mammalia; Artiodactyla; Physeteridae
Exons: 3
Source: RefSeq, a predicted model, not a curated record
UCCAGGGCUGCUCCCCUGAAUGGCUACGUCACUGAUUAAUUUCACAUUGUGCUCAGUUGGGUGCUUUGCUUGCAGGGAGCCAAGAGGUGGACCAGAUUUAAGAAGACAAAGCUCAUUUUAAGGACCUGCAUGUACUGGGAUGAAGAUGAGAAUCUCCGUAGAAGACACUGACCUCCACUGGAAUAAAUUAUUGAACACAUACGAACAGGUAUUCAUAGAAGCUGUCACAGCUAAACAAACAAGGCGAACCGAAUCCCGGAAAGCGGCAGUUCCCGCCGGAUGACUGAAUUUAACUCGAAACAAGAUGAGGGAAGGCGGCAAUAUCUCCCAGUGACCAGCAGGGGUCACUCGACAACCAGAAAACGAAUAGAA